UACAGAGGGUGCGAGCGUUGUUCGGAGUUACUGGGCGUAAAGCGCAUGUAGGCGGAUAGAGAAGUUGGGUGUGAAAUCCCUGGGCUUAACCCAGGAACUGCGCCCGAAACCAUCUAUCUAGAGUUCAGUAGGGGAGCGGGGAAGUUCCCGGUGUAGAGGUGAAAUUCGUAGAUAUCGGGAGGAACACCAGUGGCGAAGGCGCCGCUCUGGGCUGUAACUGACGCUGAGGUGCGAAAGCUUGGGGAGCAAACAGGAUUAGAUACCCGGGUAGU
This 272-nucleotide ribosomal RNA is filed under the name uncultured bacterium. RNAcentral's name for it is "partial 16S ribosomal RNA". It matches the Rfam family "Bacterial small subunit ribosomal RNA", at positions 524 to 794 of the family's 1533-position model. The record is from RNAcentral.